Molecule: ribosomal RNA, 497 nt
Filed under: uncultured bacterium
Lineage: Bacteria
Description: partial 16S ribosomal RNA
Rfam family: Bacterial small subunit ribosomal RNA
Source: RNAcentral
GAUGAACGCUGGCGGCGUGCCUAAUACAUGCAAGUCGAGCGAACAGACGAGGAGCUUGCUCCUUUGACGUUAGCGGCGGACGGGUGAGUAACACGUAGGUAACCUACCUAUAAGACUGGGAUAACUUCGGGAAACCGGAGCUAAUACCGGAUAAUAUUUCGAACCGCAUGGUUCGAUAGUGAAAGAUGGCUUUGCUAUCACUUAUAGAUGGACCUGCGCCGUAUUAGCUAGUUGGUAAGGUAACGGCUUACCAAGGCAACGAUACGUAGCCGACCUGAGAGGGUGAUCCGCCCCACUUGAACUGAGACACGGUCCAGACUCCUACGGGAGGCAGCAGUAGGGAAUCUUCCGCAAUGGGCGAAAGCCUGACGGAGCAACGCCGCGUGAGUGAUGAAGGUCUUCGGAUCGUAAAACUCUGUUAUUAGGGAAGAACAAACGUGUAAGUAACUGUGCACGUCUUGACGGUACCUAAUCAGAAAGCCACGGCUAACUACGUG